UACGUAGGGUGCAAGCGUUGUCCGGAAUUAUUGGGCGUAAAGAGCUCGUAGGCGGUCUGUUGCGUCGGCUGUGAAAACCCGGGGCUCAACUCCGGGCCUGCAGCCGAUACGGGCAGACUAGAGUUCGGCAGGGGAGACUGGAAUUCCUGGUGUAGCGGUGAAAUGCGCAGAUAUCAGGAGGAACACCGGUGGCGAAGGCGGUUCUCUGGGCAUGAUCUGACGCUGAGGAGCGAAAGUGUGGGGAGCGAACAGG
Molecule: ribosomal RNA, 253 nt
Filed under: uncultured bacterium
Lineage: Bacteria
Description: partial 16S ribosomal RNA
Rfam family: Bacterial small subunit ribosomal RNA
Source: RNAcentral